GGACUACACGGGUAUCUAAUCCUGUUUGCUCCCCACGCUUUCGCGCCUCAGCGUCAAUAUCUGUCCAGGUAGCCGCCUUCGCCACUGGUGUUCCUUCCGAUCUCUACGCAUUUCACCGCUACACCGGAAAUUCCACUACCCUCUACAGUAUUCUAGUCAUUCAGUAUUGUAUGCAGUUCCUAGGUUAAGCCCAGGGAUUUCACAUCCAACUUAAUUGACCGCCUACGCGCCCUUUACGCCCAGUAACUCCGAUUAACGCUCGCACCCUCUGUAUUACCGCGGCUGCUGGCAC
This 292-nucleotide ribosomal RNA is filed under the name uncultured bacterium. RNAcentral's name for it is "partial 16S ribosomal RNA". The record is from RNAcentral. RNAcentral also lists the same sequence under 1 other name.